AAGGAUUUAAUUGAAAUCUAAAUGAAACUCGAGGUAUAAGUUGCAAAAAAUAAAAAUAGGCUAAUAAGGACUACAAAGUUAUGCGCUAAAAAGAACAGGGAUUGAAAAGGGAAAUAUCCCUUGUCCUUAUGCGCGCCUUUUAUCAGAUGGAACAAAAUAAAAUAGAAAUGAAAUUAUAUGGUAAAAUUUAGAAAUAAAUAAAAGGCGGAAGGGCCGAAUCCGCAAAUAACCCAUUAGAUAUGAAAACACGCGGAUCUUGG
RNAcentral lists this long non-coding RNA (260 nucleotides) under Gossypium barbadense (sea-island cotton). RNAcentral describes it as "long non-coding RNA (GBAR_LNC018793)". Lineage: Eukaryota; Viridiplantae; Streptophyta; Magnoliopsida; Malvales; Malvaceae. The record is from RNAcentral.